RNAcentral lists this ribosomal RNA (317 nucleotides) under uncultured bacterium. Its description in RNAcentral is "bacterial SSU rRNA". It matches the Rfam family "Bacterial small subunit ribosomal RNA", at positions 1165 to 1481 of the family's 1533-position model. The record is from RNAcentral.
GGAGGAAGGUGGGGAUGACGUCAAGUCAUCAUGGCCCUUACGGCCAGGGCUACACACGUGCUACAAUGGCGUAUACAGAGGGAAGCGACCUCGCGAGAGCAAGCGGAACCCACAAAGUACGUCGUAGUCCGGAUCGGAGUCUGCAACUCGACUCCGUGAAGUCGGAAUCGCUAGUAAUCGCAAAUCAGAAUGUUGCGGUGAAUAUGUUCCCGGGCCUUGUACACACCGCCCGUCACACCAUGGGAGUUUGUUGCACCAUAAGUAGGUAGUCUAACCGCAAGGAGGACGCUUACCACGGUGUGGCCGAUGACUGGGGU